AUGAAGUCAUUGGCCAUUUGUGAUUAGCUCGGUCUCCAGCUCCUUUCCCCUCCCAGGGGUUUGGGAGGUGGGGCUGCAAGUUCUACCCUCUGAUCAAGGCCUGAUGUUCUGCCUUCACCCCGCAGCUUCCCAAGGGUUCCCAGACACCAGUCAUUUCAUAUCAUACAAACAGAACUCAUCACUCUGGAGAUUCCAGGAGUUUUAGGAGCCAUUUACCAGGAACCAGGGACAAAGAACAAAUCAAACAUCUGCUUCCUGGGGAGCUGCAGGAGGCCAUGGAGAUAAAGAGAAUGGAAAUGGAGCUGCCAGCACAACGAAGGAACACAGGUUUGAGGUGGGCUGUGCUAUGUAUGAACUUUCCUAGAAGAGAAGCUGGAGUGUGACCAUGACAUCUGCCAGUGGAAGUGGAGACAGUCACAUCCUCAUUAAGAGGGGGCUCAAACUUCAGUGUGCGUGAGAAUUACUCAGACAGCUUAUUCGGUCACAGAUGGCUGAUUCAGUAGGGCUGAACCAGACUCAGAACACUUGGUCUAUAGGAACCACAGGAGGUUAGAGAAGGGGAAAACCAGCACAGACUCUGGUGGUGGAGAAGUUCAGGUAAGUGUGUGAUUCUGCUGGUUCCUUUGCUUGAGUGUUGGCCUCACUUUAGGUGGGGCUUGGUGGAUCUUUCAGUGACUUCAGAAAGUGAGUGGAAUGAAGUGGAGCCUCAUUUGGUUUGGCAGAAGAUUGGGGUAUUUGGAUAGGUCGUGAUCAGGAUGGGAGAUGUUGUAGACCAGGGAAACCCUGUGAACAAAAUCACCACACCUGAAAUGAUCUCUGAAUGUCCUGUUCACCCUGUUGGGAAAGCUCAGCUCCAUCCAAUCACAUGGG
RNAcentral lists this long non-coding RNA (870 nucleotides) under Sus scrofa (pig). RNAcentral describes it as "lncRNA (ENSSSCG00060044642.1)". The record is from RNAcentral. Lineage: Eukaryota; Metazoa; Chordata; Mammalia; Artiodactyla; Suidae.